This 470-nucleotide ribosomal RNA is filed under the name uncultured bacterium. RNAcentral's name for it is "bacterial SSU rRNA". It matches the Rfam family "Bacterial small subunit ribosomal RNA", at positions 917 to 1382 of the family's 1533-position model. The record is from RNAcentral.
GGGCCCGCACAAGCGGUGGAGCAUGUGGGUUAAUCGGAUGAUACGCCGAGAACCUUACCAGGGCUUGACAUGGCUGUGACCGCCUAUGAAAGUAGGUUUUCUACGCAAGUAGACACAGUCACAGGUGGUGCAUGGUUGUCGUCAGCUCGUGCCGUGAGGUGUUGGGUUAAGUCCCGCAACGAGCGCAACCCUCGCCGGAUGUUGCCAUCAGGUUAUGCUGGGCACUCUUCCGGGACUGCCCGAGCAAUCGGGAGGAAGGAGAGGACGACGUCAAAUCGGCAUGCCCCUUACGCCCUGGGCUGCACACGUGCUACAAUGGCGAGGACAAAGGGUUGCUAAACCGCGAGGUGGAGCCAAUCCCCCAAACCUCGUCCCAGUUCGGAUCGGAUGUCUGCAACUCGACUCCGUGAAGCCGGAAUCGCUAGUAACCGUGGAUCAGCAAUGCCGCGGUGAAUACGUUCCCGGGCCUU